UUUUAUUUUGCACGUUUAGCCCAUUACUGUGUGCACAUUCAUAUCUCGGCUCUUUAUAAAAUUAUAAAAAGCACCUAUCAAUUCAUGAACAAAAAAUAAAUAAAUAUGAAGCACCCAUCCAAAUAAAUGUUAUAGCUCUUGAAUUGAUUUUGGACGUAUUUGAAUUAUGGAUUUGACAAAAGAAAUGUAUUGCAUUAUGAAUAGAUUGUGUGAUGAUCAUAUAAGAAAAGGCUAACAAUUACUAACAAAUUUAAUUCAUUAACAAAGGACGUACCACAUGUUGAUGAACACCAUGUUCAAUAUGUGGGUGGGAUAUUCAUAUAACGUUAGUUUCUGGUUUUAUUAAUAACAUUUUUCAGACUGGACUACUAUGUAUGAUUUACUGCUACUUUCUCAUUAUUUCAUAUCUUCGUUAGUGGGAAAUUGAAAAAUGUUGUUGUUUAAACAUUUUUUUAUGACUAAAAAAAAAGAAACAAUGUUUCAGGGUUACUUGUGUAGACUUGUUUACUUAAAAGGGUGUUGAUUGAUUACAGGGUGAUCUAAGAAACAAAGGAGAUAUUGAGAAACUCUUCUCCAAACAGAGGUUUGAUGCUGUGAUCCAUUUCGCGGGUCUUAAAGCUGUGGGUGAAAGCGUUGGCAACCCUCGCCGCUACUUCUACAAUAACUUAGUUGGAACUAUCAAUCUUUACGAGACCAUGGCAAAGCACAACUGCAAAAUGAUGGUGUUUUCAUCGUCUGCAACUGUGUAUGGACAACCUGAGAAGAUCCCAUGCAUGGAGGUUUUGGUUUUAUAAGAAUAUGAUUUGAAAAACAGGUGAGGGACUACAUCCAUGUGAUGGAUUUGGCUGAUGGACAUAUCGCUGCACUGAGGAAGCUAUUUGAUGAUCCAAAGAUAGUGUACAAGUGGAUGAGUUUGGGUUGAUACGUUUGAAGCCACGGAUGCAAACUUCACUGUGAUUUGCAGUGUACAAGUGGACAUCGAUUACAUGUUGUACACGUGGAUAUAGUCAUCUAAUUGUACAUGUGGAUAGUACAAUAUGUGUACACCACAUAACACAAUAUGUGUACACUUUGAAAACUUUUAUAUAUUCAUGUGUUCUAAAAUUUUAAACCA
This is a long non-coding RNA of Brassica napus (rape), 1114 nucleotides long. RefSeq lists it as uncharacterized. The record is from RefSeq and is a predicted model, not a curated record. The transcript is spliced from 4 exons. NCBI's taxonomy places the organism in Eukaryota, Viridiplantae, Streptophyta, Magnoliopsida, Brassicales, Brassicaceae.